AAAAUAAUCCUACCCUUUGUGAAUUUUGUUUGUUUGAAUAAUUUUUUUUUUUAAAAAAUUAUUGGAGUCUUUCCCUUUAGAGUUUGCUUUUGAGUUUGUAAAAGAAUUCGAAAACAUCUAAAGGGGAUGGUCAAUAAUUUUUUUGAAAAAAGACAUUUUUUAAAAUUAAACUUUUUGUAUUCAUUUGUCUAAAAAUUAUUUUUAUAAUAUAAAAACAACUUUUGACAAUGGAUCUCUUGGUUCUCGCAACGAUGAAGAACGCAGCAAAAUGCGAUAAGUAGUGUGAAUUGCAGAAUACGUGAAUCAUCGAAUCUUUGAACGCAUAUUGCACUUUUUUAGUUUACUAAAAAAGUAUGUCUGUUUGAGUAUCAGUAAAAUAUUCUCAUAAAAAUCAUUGUAUUUUUAUGGUUAUGAGUGUUUUACAACGAUACAAGUUGUUUCACUUUAAAUUUUUUUUUAAUAUUGAAAUUUUUCUAAUUUUAAUAAUUAAAAUUGGAUAAAAUUUUCCCGUCAAAAGGAAUAACCUAAACAAUUUCAAAUGAUUAAUUUUAGCAAAAUUUUCGAAAAAAAGGAAAAUUUUUAUUAAAAUAACUUGAUCUCAAAUCAGAUAAGAGUACCCGCUGAACUUAAGCAUAUCAAUAAGCGGAGGAAAAGAAACUAACAAGGAUUCCCUUAGUAACGGCGAGUGAAGCGGGAAGAGCUCAAAUUUGAAAUCUUCAAGGUUUUACCUUGACGAAUUGUAGUUUAAAGAAGUGUUUUCUGCUGAAGUUUUGGUAAAAGUUCUUUGGAAUAGGACAUCAUAGAGGGUGAGAAUCCCGUAUUUGACCAUUAUUUUCAGCUUUGUGAUACACUUUCAAAGAGUCGGAUUGUUUGGGAAUGCAGUCCAAAAUGGGUGGUAAAUUUCAUCUAAAGCUAAAUAUUGGCGAGAGACCGAUAGCGAGCAAGUACCGUGAGGGAAAGAUGAAAAGAACUUUGAAAAGAGAGUUAAACAGUACGUGAAAUUGUCAAAAGGGAAGCGUUUGACACCAGUGUUGUUUUCUCGAAAAUCAAUUAAAAAUGGCUCGAUUUUGUAUUGCUUGAGACCUUAAAAGCUCACUGUACAUUUUUCGUGUCUUUUUAAUGCACUUUUCGUUUAACAAGUCAACAUCAGUUUCUUUUGUUGUAAAAGGGUCAUUGGAAGGUGGCUUUCUUUUCGGAGAAAGUGUUUAUAGCCUUUGGCUUCUGCAAUCGGAGAGACUGAGGUCUGCAGCGUAGACUCUUCGGGGUUAGAUACAUUUGUGCUAAGUUAUAGCUUUUUAUAGACAACUUGUUGACUAUAAUUAGUCUUGUAGCUUACUCGCUUAUGCUAUUUUACCUACGCUUAGGAUG
This 1368-nucleotide unclassified non-coding RNA is filed under the name uncultured Neocallimastigales. RNAcentral describes it as "partial contains internal transcribed spacer 1, 5.8S ribosomal RNA, internal transcribed spacer 2, and large subunit ribosomal RNA". The stretch from base 594 to 1368 matches the Rfam family "Eukaryotic large subunit ribosomal RNA", at positions 1 to 634 of the family's 3401-position model. The record is from RNAcentral. Lineage: Eukaryota; Fungi; Neocallimastigomycota; Neocallimastigomycetes; Neocallimastigales.